RNAcentral lists this long non-coding RNA (1230 nucleotides) under Homo sapiens (human). RNAcentral describes it as "HSALNT0026969". The record is from RNAcentral. Lineage: Eukaryota; Metazoa; Chordata; Mammalia; Primates; Hominidae.
GCUGCAUUGAGCUCAAGUUACCUGGGGAAAGUGCAGAUUCGGGGUCCUACUCCCCUGAGACAGAGUCAGUGGGGGCCUGGGGAUGUGGAUUUUAGUUUUGUGGGUGUGUUUUUGGCACCCUAGGGAAUUCUGACGUUAGUUCUUUGCUUAGUAGCCUGGGCAACAAGAGCGAAACUCUGUCUCAAAAAAAAGGAACACCUCUCUAGAAGCACUUCAGGCAUCAAAGCUAGAAAUUCUUUAAAGUCCAUGACGCUGUUGCCUCUGCCUAGAACGCAGAGGCCCCAGAUCUCUCCCUGCACACAAUCUGCUUUCGUGUUCCUGAUGGAUUGAAUCAAGAGUGAAUGAGCUCCUACUUCGCGAAAGCAAAACAAACUAAACGCAUCAACCACGACCGCAGAGCCCCCAUCUCUCCCAGGAGGGUGAGCCCAUGUUGUGUUUUCAUUUGUCAGAAAUCUAUCUUAGGAAGCCAUUCCUGAGAUCUGUUCUAAUUUAGGCCAUUUUUAAAAAAAAUAAUGCAGUUGAUUCUUUUCCCGUGAUCUUUCUUUUCUCCAUGACUUAAAUUUCCCCAGGAACUAUUCAAAUGCCGCAUCUGGGGUUUUGUUUUUGUUUUUUGAUGAAGUCAUGACUUUCUUUAAACAGUAAUUAUUAAACAAACCAAAGGGAAACCUUCUGUGAGGAUGCUGUUUACAAAUAUCACCACUUUUACAAUCAGUAAUGGAGGUUGCAAAGUGCAGGAUUCUGAGUUCCAGUGAGUCUGGGGAGUUGCUUGAGUCUUCCAAUUGGUUCCUGCCUUGUCCAGAGGGUGGUUUCUCGCAUGGGAAAUGGUCUUCAAUGCCCUUCCCUCCUCCUCCUCUCUCCUAACUCGAUUUUUCCAGGGCUUUCAUGUUUCGCUCCCAUCGCAGGGUCGGGAAUGCCCUGUGCUUGGUGACCAUAGGGUGGUGAAGUCACCCUGCUCUGCUAGAAAAGGGACGAGUGCUGUGUUUUGGGUGGAUGACCAAGGGCUCACUAUCCCGGUGGCUCAUUUCCUGGGGGCCUGUGGGCUGCCGGGAGCACCCUGAGGAGGACAGAGUGGAGUUGCAGCUGCCCAUGCACUGCAGAGGGGACACGGGUGUUGUGCAGCAUCUCGGGAAGGGCGUGGCAGAUGUGGCAGGUGCAUGGCAGGGCCAUUCCAUUCUGUCUGUUGCGGGACCCUCCAUCCAGCUCAGGGCCGUGGAUUGAACAGAGAGACAG